Molecule: ribosomal RNA, 503 nt
Filed under: uncultured bacterium
Lineage: Bacteria
Description: partial 16S ribosomal RNA
Rfam family: Bacterial small subunit ribosomal RNA
Source: RNAcentral
GAUGAACGCUAGCGACAGGCCUAACACAUGCAAGUCGUGGGGCAGCACAUGCGUAGCAAUACAAUGGUGGCGACCGGCGCACGGGUGAGUAACACGUAUGCAACCUACCUGUAAGAGGGGAAUAACCCGGAGAAAUUCGGACUAACACCGCAUAAUACCUCGAAGCUGCAUGGCUUUGAGGUUAAAUAUUUAUAGCUUACAGAUGGGCAUGCGUAACAUUAGAUAGUUGGUGAGGUAACGGCUCACCAAGUCAACGAUGUUUAGGGGUUCUGAGAGGAAGGUCCCCCACACUGGUACUGAGACACGGACCAGACUCCUACGGGAGGCAGCAGUGAGGAAUAUUGGUCAAUGGGCGAGAGCUUGAACCAGCCAAGUCGCGUGAAGGAAGAAGGUUCUAUGGAUUGUAAACUUCUUUUGUAAGGGAAUAAAAAAGCUUACGUGUAGGCUAUUGUAUGUACUUUACGAAUAAGGAUCGGCUAACUCCGUGCCAGCCGCCGCCGUAA